AUCAACGCAUGACUAAUGAGGAUAUCCUGCUAGAAUUGCAGAGGAGCUAUUUAUCUGGCACAAAUGCACAUUCUCUACUUGUGACUAGUCUACUGCAAUUAUGUUGUGUGGUGAGGAAGCCCUGAAGACCUAUUCCAAAUAAAUGAAGAGAGAAAAGUACUUUGAUUCAAAUGUCUGAGAAAAUUCAAGGCACACCAUCUUUCAAGCUAGUGUAAGAUGUUAGACAUGGAAAACAAGUCAUAGUACAGUCUUUCAUUUGGGAACGAAGACUCAGCUCAAAAACUGGAUUACUUAUACCAAAGACAAACUGCUCAAUGGCUCUGAGAAGGGCCAGCUUGCUCUUCUCAGUCUGGAGUACAGGCUGUGAAGUGCCUGGUCUUGGGUCUGGGGAGUUGGUGUGUGGGAGCACUAGUCAGGCGUUCAGUGCCUCAUUCUUUGCCUGAGAGUUAGAGCCACAUCAUUCAUCCUUGUCCAUGCAUAAAGGAAAGUAGUUUCUUCAUUCAGCUGAUGUUGAACCACUGCUCCCUGAAGAAGAGUCACCAUGUGCAUCUCCUACACAGGAAGACAGCUGCCAUGAGGUGUGAGCAGUGAGAAAACUCUAAACAACACUGAGAAUAUCCCUUCCCACAGACUGCUUUAUUUACUCUCCUUAACAACUCCACCUUAGAGGUGCUAUCUCUCUUUAUGACUGGAAGAACCAAGACUCAAAACCUCCUUUAAGACCUCAUACUAAUAAAGCUUCUGGUUCA
This is a long non-coding RNA of Peromyscus eremicus (cactus mouse), 749 nucleotides long. RefSeq lists it as uncharacterized. The record is from RefSeq and is a predicted model, not a curated record. The transcript is spliced from 2 exons. Lineage: Eukaryota; Metazoa; Chordata; Mammalia; Rodentia; Cricetidae.